AUUGAACGCUGGCGGCAUGCCUUACACAUGCAAGUCGAACGGCAGCACGGGUGCUUGCCCCUGGUGGCGAGUGGCGAACGGGUGAGUAAUACAUCGGAACAUGUCCUGUAGUGGGGGAUAGCCCGGCGAAAGCCGGAUUAAUACCGCAUACGAACUACGGAUGAAAGCGGGGGCCCUUCGGGCCUCGCGCUAUAGGGUUGGCCGAUGGCUGAUUAGCUAGUUGGUGGGGUAAAGGCCUACCAAGGCGACGAUCAGUAGCUGGUCUGAGAGGACGACCAGCCACACUGGGACUGAGACACGGCCCAGACUCCUACGGGAGGCAGCAGUGGGGAAUUUUGGACAAUGGGCGAAAGCCUGAUCCAGCAAUGCCGCGUGUGUGAAGAAGGCCUUCGGGUUGUAAAGCACUUUUGUCCGGAAAGAAAUCCUUGGCCCUAAUACGGUCGGGGGAUGACGGUACCGGAAGAAUAAGCACCGGCUAACUACGUG
This 486-nucleotide ribosomal RNA is filed under the name uncultured bacterium. Its description in RNAcentral is "partial 16S ribosomal RNA". It matches the Rfam family "Bacterial small subunit ribosomal RNA", at positions 30 to 507 of the family's 1533-position model. The record is from RNAcentral.